This 447-nucleotide ribosomal RNA is filed under the name uncultured bacterium. RNAcentral describes it as "bacterial SSU rRNA". It matches the Rfam family "Bacterial small subunit ribosomal RNA", at positions 355 to 825 of the family's 1533-position model. The record is from RNAcentral.
UGGGGAAUUUUGGGCAAUGGGCGAAAGCCUGACCCAGCAACGCCGCGUGAAGGAUGAAGUAUUUCGGUAUGUAAACUUCGAAAGAAUAGGAAGAAUAAAUGACGGUACUAUUUAUAAGGUCCGGCUAACUACGUGCCAGCAGCCGCGGUAAUACGUAGGGACCAAGCGUUGUUCGGAUUUACUGGGCGUAAAGGGCGCGUAGGCGGCAAUUCAAGUCAUCUGUGAAAUCUCCGGGCUUAACUCGGAACGGUCAGAUGAUACUGCUUUGCUAGAGUGCAGAAGGGGCAAUCGGAAUUCUUGGUGUAGCGGUGAAAUGCGUAGAUAUCAAGAGGAACACCUGAGGUGAAGACGGGUUGCUGGGCUGACACUGACGCUGAGGCGCGAAAGCCAGGGGAGCAAACGGGAUUAGAUACCCUUGUAGUCCCUGAGCGGGCUGGCAAGGCGCAU